GCCCCCUUCCUAUUGUAGCAAGAUUUUAUGAUUGAGAGUGAUGAAGUGGUCCCCUCCCUUCACCACUUCUAAGUUCUUUAGGUUCACUAUCCCCUUACCCUAAGGCAGUAAAUGCCUUCUAAUACAUAUGGAUAGGGGCCCCAAAAAAAGAUUCCCAACUUCGGUCGAGUAGAAUCUCAAUAAUGCAUAUGGACAGUGUCCUCAAAAAUAAACAAUUUCACACAAAUCCGAAAUCAAAAUUGACUAUAAAACCUAGGAAAUCAUAUACAUUAUCAAGUAUAAACAGAUUGAAAGCAUGAAAACACAAAAAAUCUACUGUUAUCAAUCACAAACAACUUUAAACGGCAAUCUCUUUCAAGCAUAAACACAAGAAAUUUCAAAAUCUACCUCUUGAAAUACAAACCUCCAGAUAGUUAAAAAGAAUUCAGUGCAUUUUGAUCAUUAUUCCUUUUUCGUUGAUACUAUUAAAACAGAGACAAACGGCUAGAGCUCUUUGCAAUAUUUAUAAAGUUUUGGGAUCCAUUUUAAAAUUUUUUUCAUUUGGGGUCGAAGUGUAAAUGGGUCAAACUUUAAGGGUCUCUCCAUAAUUUUCUCUAAUAUAUAUG
RNAcentral lists this long non-coding RNA (605 nucleotides) under Elaeis guineensis (African oil palm). RNAcentral describes it as "long non-coding RNA (EGUI_LNC028162)". Lineage: Eukaryota; Viridiplantae; Streptophyta; Magnoliopsida; Arecales; Arecaceae. The record is from RNAcentral.